CUUAUCAAGAGCGGUGGAGGGAACGGCCCUGUGAAGCCCGGCAACCUGAGGAGACUUAAGGUGCCAAAUCCGGCGGUGAGACGAAAGAUGAG
Molecule: non-coding RNA, 92 nt
Filed under: bovine gut metagenome
Also listed under: 1 other name
Description: SAM riboswitch (S box leader)
Rfam family: SAM riboswitch aptamer (S box leader)
About the family: The SAM riboswitch is found upstream of a number of genes which code for proteins involved in methionine or cysteine biosynthesis in Gram-positive bacteria. The SAM riboswitch acts at the level of transcription termination control. The predicted structure consists of a complex stem-loop region followed by a single stem loop terminator region.
Source: RNAcentral